UGUGACCUCAAAUCAGGUAGGACUACCCGCUGAACUUAAGCAUAUCAAUAAGCGGAGGAAAAGAAACUAACAAGGAUUCCCCUAGUAACUGCGAGUGAAGCGGGAAAAGCUCAAAUUUAAAAUCUGGCAGUCUUUUGGCUGUCCGAGUUGUAAUCUAGAGAAGUGUUAUCCGCGCUGGACCGUGUACAAGUCUCCUGGAAUGGAGCAUCAUAGAGGGUGAGAAUCCCGUCUUUGACAUGGACUGCCAGGGCUUUGUGAUGCGCUCUCAAAGAGUCGAGUUGUUUGGGAAUGCAGCUCAAAAUGGGUGGUAAAUUCCAUCUAAAGCUAAAUAUUGGCGAGAGACCGAUAGCGAACAAGUACCGUGAGGGAAAGAUGAAAAGAACUUUGGAAAGAGAGUUAAACAGUACGUGAAAUUGCUGAAAGGGAAACGCUUGAAGUCAGUCGCGUCGUCCGGGGAUCAACCUUGCUUUUGCUUGGUGCACUUUCUGGUUUGACGGGUCAGCAUCAAUUUUGACCGUUGGAAAAAGGUUAAGGGAAUGUGGCAUCUUUGGAUGUGUUUAUAGCCCUUGGUCACAUACAAUGGUUGGGAUUGAGGAACUCAGCACGCCGCAAGGCCGGGUUUUAAACCACGUACGUGCUUAGGAUGCUGGCAAUAUGGCUUUAAUCGACCCGUCUUGAAACACGGACCAAGGAGUCUAACAUGCCUGCGAGUGUUUGGGUGGAAAACCCGAGCGCGUAAUGAAAGUGAAAAGUUGAGAUCCCUGUCGUGGGGAGCAUCGACGCCCGGACCAGACCUUUUGUGACGGUUCCGCGGUAGAGCAUGUAUGUUGGGACCCGAAAGAUGGUGAACUAUGCCUGAAUAGGGUGAAUCCAGAGGAAACUCUGGUGGAGGCUCGUAGCGAUUCUGACGUGCAAAUCGAUCGUCAAAUUUGGGUAUAGGGGCGAAAGACUAAUCG
RNAcentral lists this ribosomal RNA (956 nucleotides) under Cortinarius torvus. RNAcentral describes it as "eukaryotic LSU rRNA". It matches the Rfam family "Eukaryotic large subunit ribosomal RNA", at positions 1 to 937 of the family's 3401-position model. The record is from RNAcentral. Lineage: Eukaryota; Fungi; Basidiomycota; Agaricomycetes; Agaricales; Cortinariaceae.